This is a non-coding RNA of Elaeis guineensis (African oil palm), 583 nucleotides long. Lineage: Eukaryota; Viridiplantae; Streptophyta; Magnoliopsida; Arecales; Arecaceae. The record is from RefSeq and is a predicted model, not a curated record.
UAGAACCGAGAGGCUAGGAGAGAUAGGGAGAGAUCGGCGUCGCUCCUCCCGUCGGAAGUGAGACAAGAAGAGAUAGAGGGACAUCGGCGUCGCUCCUUCCGUCGAACUCCCAUCGAAAGGGAGACAAGGAGAGAUACAGAGAGACAGUGUCGCUCGUCCCGUCGAUCCCCCACCUCAUAAAACCCAAAUACUCUCUGAUCGAUCCCUUUGGUCUUCCCCACAUCGUCCAGGAUUCUGAUCGAUUCCUUCUUCCCAGGAACAACAGUUAACUCAAUCCCAACUAAGACAGGCUCUUCAUCAUCUUCGGAGACCAAUUCUGAUUCUCUUGAUGCUUAUAUUUGCAGCUGCUGUGUGUGGUACUGUGUCUUGGGUUACCGUCUAAUCGUGGCACUGUAUCUCGAGUAGCAUUGUCUUGGGUUGUCUCUAAAUGUUCUGGAGGUGCGUUGUCUUGGACUAUCUCCGAUGGUGUGGUAUCUUGAGGUGCAUUAACUAUAGUUGGAGAUGCCGUUAAGUUUGGAGGUGUAGUCUCUUGAGCUGUAUUUUUAUCCAAAAUACAGGUAUUUAUGUCAUUAUGCAUUCAUGU